AAGCUGCUGUAUAUUCUCUUGAUGUUGGAGCAGACCCACCAGAAAGGAUAUUUCAAUUAAUUGACCAAGUCAACCCCAGUAUUUUCUGCAUUCAUGCUACAAACUAUAAACAAGCACUUUACCUCAGGUCCCCUGAAAUGCCAACUCCAGAAAAUUUUGAUGAUUUGCUUAAUGAGUUUGGGAGUGCUGCUUUCAGUGCUGAGCCUGAGAGCUGGAAUAUGGACACAGAUGCUCCAGACCCUCCUGAUGCAAAUGAAACUCAGAGAUAUGAGUAUGGGGUUCCUGUACAGACAGAGGAUGCAUUUCUGAAACUGCCAAGUCCUGUUGUCUCCUCCUGGUGCUCUGAUGCCAAUCCUGCAGGGUUUUUAGUAAACCAGGCCACAAAAUGCAUCAGAUCUGUAAGUGUGGAAAAAUGUGAAAGCAUUCAAGCACUUAAUAUGCUGUUCUACAUCAACUCCAGCAUUUUGGCAGUGCCCAAAUCAAGUCAGAUGGUUAAUAUUUCUGUCCAGUCCAUAGUUGUCCAGUCCCUGGAUGGAAUGAGGACUUUACUGAAGGGUGCUGAUGUCCCGAGGCUCCCCAUGAUUUUGGAUGAACUGUGCUUAAAUAUAGUCCUUGGGGUGAGUUAUCACAUUACCUACACAGACACAGGAGAAAUAAUAGAAGCAGCUGCUGCUUUUGUCUUGGGGGCAAUUACCAAAGAAGCACUUUCAAUCCAGCAGAGCUUCCAAAUCAGCUUCACUCAGGUAGACACAAAGCCAGUUCCUCUCAGUGGCAAUCCUGGUUACAUUGUCGGGCUGCCUGUGAGAGCAGGAUUCUGGCCUCAAGGAUCUGGCAUCACUCAGAGCACCAACAAACCCAGCCAGCUCUCCAUCCUGCAGAGCACAUCCACCCAGGACUGCCUGGCAGCACAGGGAGCCAGAGCCCCCGUGUUAUUUGGUUAUAACAUGAUCUCAGGCUGUAAGUUACGAAUUACAGCAGCUAUGAAAUGCCAGCCUUUGGCUCAGACCCUCCUGGAUGUACUGAAGGGCCAAAACUUUCCUGAGUAUGUGGCCUCAUUUGGGAAUUCCCAAGCCCAGGAUGUGCUUGACUGGGUGCCAAUAACUCACCUCCACAUCUCAGAACAGAGCUCGUGCCAAAUUCCAGUGUCCUUUGGAAUAGAAGUGGAGUGGACUAAAUAUGGAUCCCUGGUCAAUCCCCAAGCCAGGAUAGUGAAUGUUACAGCAACACUCACCACCACCACACUGAAGCAGCUUCCCUCAGGAAGGGAAAGGACUAUUCCUGUAACAAGUUCUGUUGUUUUCACUGACAUUUCCUCACCUGCAGAGCCAGGCUAUAAAGCUUGGCCCACCAUUAACAUCAAGUUACCCUUUGAUUUUUUCUACCCAUUUGUCUAAGCUCCCCAGAUUCCCACAGAUCUUCCCACUGCUGCAGGAAAGCAGGACAACCUGGCUAAAGGAAGUAGGACAGAGAGAAACAUCACUCCUUGGAGGAGGAGCAGCUCAGGGAACUUGGGUAGGGCACCCCACACUUUCCAGUGAGGAAACCAUUCCAACAGUGCCAGCCUUGCACAAGGAUCCCAGGCAGCAAGAAAGAUCCAGGGUGAGACAAGGACAUUUCCUGCAGCAUCCCUGGAGGGGAUGGAGGAGUAGAAGCAGAACAGAGCAUUAAAUCUUACUCUGCUGUAGAAGCAGAUGCAGGAAGACAGGGGCUCCCCUGUUAAAACACUGCCAGAAGGAUCCUACAGUGGAAACUUAGGAUGUGAGCCAUCCUUCUCCAGGAUGGACAGCCAGAGUGUGUGGCAGGCAGUGGUGCUGGGAAACUGGUCCAGGAGGUGUGAAGAGGAAUAGAUUAUGAAGUUUUUUAGGGGGAAUGUCUAUCCCUGCUCCAAAGAAAUUGCAGCCUGACUCUGGCCACACUCCAGCAAGGAAAACCACAGGGGUGGAACUCCGAGUUCACUGGGAGAGCAGGACCAGGGGUCUCACAGAUGGGUGUGAGGAGAGAACAAAGACAUGAGCCCAGGUAAUUGAGGGGAGGUGACAAAUCCAGCCCUUGGCCCAGGACACCCCCUCACCCACCGUUGAUGAUCCGGGCCACCCUCCAGAGCCGCAGCAGGAUCAGGAGCCCCACGGCCUCGAACUCGUGCUCCCGGAAGAUGAGGACGACGUCGAGCACGAAGGACACGACCACGACCACCCCGUCCAGCACCUCGAACUUGUGGUGGAAGAACUCGCGGCGAUACACGAACACCUUGAACCCCACCUCGACCAGGAAGAUGGUUAAAAUGGACAGGGAGAGGUAGUGGAAAACCUGGGAAAAGGCAGCACAAGCUGAAGGUGGGAAGAGGGAAACCCCCCUGUGUGCACACGAGCAGGGCAGGAUGGAAAACCUCCACUGCUCGAGGGCACGUCUGGUUGGGCUCUACAGGGAGAAGGGCUGGGGACUUUUCUUCUGCUCUAAAGGACAGAGUAUGUGGCAGCCUGUGGUGCUGGGGAACUGGUCCAGGAGCUGUGAAGAUGAGCAGGAGGAGGGUGGUGGGAGUGAUCCAGCUCUGCUGCAGCCCAAGGAAACCCGAAGCUGCUGCAGGGACUGGCGUGAGCUGAGCCAGGUCAGCCCCACACACCCCUGUGAGCCCCUCCUUUGUGUGCUGGGACCAUCAGGUCGGCAGGGCUGGAGCUCCAGGUCCUGCCUUGCCCAGCCAGCCUAUCCAGGGGAGGGUCUGAGCCACCAAAGGGAGGGAAAUCACUGUUCAUGGUGACAUUUCUCCACACUUUACCUUUGGGGUUAUGUUAUAUUUGUCCGGAUGGAUGAUUUUCAAGUCCAUGAGCAAUUCCCCAAGAACCAACAAGGCAUCCAGGAUCACCAGCCAGACAACCCCGAUCUGUCAGAGGAGAAGAACCAACGUGAAUCCCCUCCCAGCACAGACCACAAGAGGAGCCAUUGUGGCCCUUACAGCUGAACACACCCCAACACCCACAGCCCUGAUUCAGCUGGUUGUGUUUCAUGGAGCUUUCCAUUGCUCCCACUCCCCCUGGAUGGUGGGUUAUUCCUGCAAAGUCCCACUCCCAUGAAACCACCUGGCUCCCCAUAAACCCAACCACCUCCCAGCCCCUGAUGUGGGGAGCUCAAGACAGGGGGAGCACGUGCUGGUGCCGCAGU
RNA transcript from Manacus vitellinus (golden-collared manakin), 3156 nucleotides. It is a transcript of the gene named tectonic family member 1, with no coding region annotated. The transcript is spliced from 14 exons. The record is from RefSeq and is a predicted model, not a curated record. NCBI's taxonomy places the organism in Eukaryota, Metazoa, Chordata, Aves, Passeriformes, Pipridae.